This 1616-nucleotide ribosomal RNA is filed under the name Staphylococcus aureus. RNAcentral describes it as "partial 23S ribosomal RNA". It matches the Rfam family "Bacterial large subunit ribosomal RNA", at positions 1313 to 2925 of the family's 2925-position model. Lineage: Bacteria; Bacillati; Bacillota; Bacilli; Caryophanales; Staphylococcaceae. The record is from RNAcentral.
AAAGACGGGUGAGAAUCCCGUCCACCGAUUGACUAAGGUUUCCAGAGGAAGGCUCGUCCGCUCUGGGUUAGUCGGGUCCUAAGCUGAGGCCGACAGGCGUAGGCGAUGGAUAACAGGUUGAUAUUCCUGUACCACCUAUAAUCGUUUUAAUCGAUGGGGGGACGCAGUAGGAUAGGCGAAGCGUGCGAUUGGAUUGCACGUCUAAGCAGUAAGGCUGAGUAUUAGGCAAAUCCGGUACUCAUUAAGGCUGAGCUGUGAUGGGGAGAAGACAUUGAGUCUUCGAGUCGUUGAUUUCACACUGCCGAGAAAAGCCUCUAGAUAGAAAAUAGGUGCCCGUACCGCAAACCGACACAGGUAGUCAAGAUGAGAAUUCUAAGGUGAGCGAGCGAACUCUCGUUAAGGAACUCGGCAAAAUGACCCCGUAACUUCGGGAGAAGGGGUGCUCUUUAGGGUUAACGCCCAGAAGAGCCGCAGUGAAUAGGCCCAAGCGACUGUUUAUCAAAAACACAGGUCUCUGCUAAACCGUAAGGUGAUGUAUAGGGGCUGACGCCUGCCCGGUGCUGGAAGGUUAAGAGGAGUGGUUAGCUUCUGCGAAGCUACGAAUCGAAGCCCCAGUAAACGGCGGCCGUAACUAUAACGGUCCUAAGGUAGCGAAAUUCCUUGUCGGGUAAGUUCCGACCCGCACGAAAGGCGUAACGAUUUGGGCACUGUCUCAACGAGAGACUCGGUGAAAUCAUAGUACCUGUGAAGAUGCAGGUUACCCGCGACAGGACGGAAAGACCCCGUGGAGCUUUACUGUAGCCUGAUAUUGAAAUUCGGCACAGCUUGUACAGGAUAGGUAGGAGCCUUUGAAACGUGAGCGCUAGCUUACGUGGAGGCGCUGGUGGGAUACUACCCUAGCUGUGUUGGCUUUCUAACCCGCACCACUUAUCGUGGUGGGAGACAGUGUCAGGCGGGCAGUUUGACUGGGGCGGUCGCCUCCUAAAAGGUAACGGAGGCGCUCAAAGGUUCCCUCAGAAUGGUUGGAAAUCAUUCAUAGAGUGUAAAGGCAUAAGGGAGCUUGACUGCGAGACCUACAAGUCGAGCAGGGUCGAAAGACGGACUUAGUGAUCCGGUGGUUCCGCAUGGAAGGGCCAUCGCUCAACGGAUAAAAGCUACCCCGGGGAUAACAGGCUUAUCUCCCCCAAGAGUUCACAUCGACGGGGAGGUUUGGCACCUCGAUGUCGGCUCAUCGCAUCCUGGGGCUGUAGUCGGUCCCAAGGGUUGGGCUGUUCGCCCAUUAAAGCGGUACGCGAGCUGGGUUCAGAACGUCGUGAGACAGUUCGGUCCCUAUCCGUCGUGGGCGUAGGAAAUUUGAGAGGAGCUGUCCUUAGUACGAGAGGACCGGGAUGGACAUACCUCUGGUGUACCAGUUGUCGUGCCAACGGCAUAGCUGGGUAGCUAUGUGUGGACGGGAUAAGUGCUGAAAGCAUCUAAGCAUGAAGCCCCCCUCAAGAUGAGAUUUCCCAACUUCGGUUAUAAGAUCCCUCAAAGAUGAUGAGGUUAAUAGGUUCGAGGUGGAAGCAUGGUGACAUGUGGAGCUGACGAAUACUAAUCGAUCGAAGACUUAAUCAAAA